RNAcentral lists this ribosomal RNA (423 nucleotides) under uncultured bacterium. RNAcentral describes it as "partial 16S ribosomal RNA". It matches the Rfam family "Bacterial small subunit ribosomal RNA", at positions 359 to 774 of the family's 1533-position model. The record is from RNAcentral.
GAAUAUUGGACAAUGGGCGAAAGCCUGAUACAGCCAUGCCGCGCGUGUGAAGAAGGUCUUCGGAUUGUUAAGCACUUUAAGUUGGGAGGAAGGGAAGUAAGCGAAUACAUUGAUGUUUGGACGUUACCGACAGAAUAAGCAACGGCUAACUCUGUGCAAGCAGCCGCGGUAAUACAGAGGGUGCAAGCGUUACUCGGAAUUACUGGGCGUAAAGCGCGCGUAGGUGGUUCGUUAAGUUGGAUGUGAAAUCCCCGGGCUCAACCUGGGAACUGCAUCCAAAACUGGCGAGCUAGAGUAGGGCAGAGGGUGGUGGAAUUUCCUGUGUAGCGGUGAAAUGCGUAGAUAUAGGAAGGAACACCAGUGGCGAAGGCGACCACCUGGGCUCAUACUGACACUGAGGUGCGAAAGCGUGGGGAGCAAACA